Molecule: unclassified non-coding RNA, 386 nt
Filed under: fungal sp.
Lineage: Eukaryota; Fungi
Description: partial internal transcribed spacer region
Rfam family: Eukaryotic small subunit ribosomal RNA (bases 1-46)
Source: RNAcentral
AAGUCGUAACAAGGUUUCCGUAGGUGAACCUGCGGAAGGAUCAUUAUCACGUAUCCACGUAACACCAAUUGUGAACUGUUUCCUUCUCCCUGCUGACUGCACAUGCAUUGGAACUUGUACAAGCUCUGAAUGGGACCUGAAAGGGUUAGCAUGGCAUGCCAUACCUGCUGGUAGCUUUGGCUACUGUCUGACAAUGGAAGUGCAGCACAGGUCGCUCCUCUCGCUCUUGACCAUCUCUUGGGCGAGUGGAAUUCUACACAUCAAUCACCCCCUUUUUGCUAGUUGACUUUUUUAAUGUUGGGCUUCUAUCAUUCAUUUGAUGGAUACUCACACGUUUCUUAAUUGAACGUAAAUUACAACUCUUAGCAAUGGAUAUCUAGGUUCUC